RNAcentral lists this ribosomal RNA (432 nucleotides) under uncultured bacterium. RNAcentral describes it as "partial 16S ribosomal RNA". It matches the Rfam family "Bacterial small subunit ribosomal RNA", at positions 29 to 507 of the family's 1533-position model. The record is from RNAcentral.
AACGAACGCUGGCGGCAUGCCUAACACAUGCAAGUCGAACGAGACCUUCGGGUCUAGUGGCGCACGGGUGCGUAACGCGUGGGAACCUGCCCUUAGGUUCGGAAUAACUCCCCGAAAGGGGUGCUAAUACCGGAUAAUGUCUUCGGACCAAAGAUUUAUCGCCUUUGGAUGGGCCCGCGUUGGAUUAGCUAGUUGGUAGGGUAAAAGCCUACCAAGGCGACGAUCCAUAGCUGGUCUGAGAGGAUGAUCAGCCACACUGGGACUGAGACACGGCCCAGACCCCAAGGGGAGGAGGAAUGGGGGAAAAUGGAAAAAGGGGCGAAAGCUGAACCAAGAAAGGCGGGGGGAGGGAGGAAGGCUUAAGGGUGGAAAAGCUCUUUACCCGGGAUGAUAAUGACAGUACCGGGAGAAUAAGCUCCGGCUAACUCCGUG